RNAcentral lists this transfer RNA (73 nucleotides) under Stegodyphus mimosarum. It matches the Rfam family "tRNA". Rfam says of the family: Transfer RNA (tRNA) molecules are approximately 80 nucleotides in length. Lineage: Eukaryota; Metazoa; Arthropoda; Arachnida; Araneae; Eresidae. The record is from Rfam by way of RNAcentral.
ACCUUCGUGGUGUAGUAGUCAGCACGCUCGGCCGGUAUUCGAGAAAUCCGUGGUUCGAGUCCCGGCGAGGGCG